AAGCCCAAGGUGGCUGCUCACAGGAUGCUGGGCCUUGUGGUGACUGUCCUUGAUGACGGUGGCUGUCAAGACGUCUUGCAAACAACGGCCUCUAACAUCUCUGCUACUGUAUCAGAGAAACCUCGCAACUAGGCCCACUUGUGAAUGGCUGCAGGAGGAGGAAAUUCACGACCUGUCCAGAGGCUGAUGGGAAC
Long non-coding RNA from Bubalus bubalis (water buffalo), 194 nucleotides. RefSeq lists it as uncharacterized. NCBI's taxonomy places the organism in Eukaryota, Metazoa, Chordata, Mammalia, Artiodactyla, Bovidae. The transcript is spliced from 2 exons. The record is from RefSeq and is a predicted model, not a curated record.